Molecule: ribosomal RNA, 253 nt
Filed under: uncultured bacterium
Lineage: Bacteria
Description: partial 16S ribosomal RNA
Rfam family: Bacterial small subunit ribosomal RNA
Source: RNAcentral
UACAGAGGGUGCAAGCGUUAAUCGGAAUUACUGGGCGUAAAGCGUGCGUAGACGGUUACAUAAGUCAGAUGUGAAAGCCCCGGGCUCAACCUGGGAAUUGCAUUUGAGACUGCGUAGCUAGGGUGCGGAAGAGGGAAGCGGAAUUUCCGGUGUAGCGGUGAAAUGCGUAGAUAUCGGAAGGAACACCAGUGGCGAAAGCGGCUUCCUGGGCCAGCACCGACGUUCAGGCACGAAAGCGUGGGGAGCAAACAGG